AGUGGCGGACGGGUGAGUAACGCGUGGGUAACCUGCCUCACACAGGGGGAUAACAGUUGGAAACGGCUGCUAAUACCGCAUAAGCGCACAGGGUCGCAUGACCUGGUGUGAAAAACUCCGGUGGUAUGAGAUGGACCCGCGUCUGAUUAGCCAGUUGGUGGGGUAACGGCCUACCAAAGCGACGAUCAGUAGCCGACCUGAGAGGGUGACCGGCCACAUUGGGACUGAGACACGGCCCAAACUCCUACGGGAGGCAGCAUG
Molecule: ribosomal RNA, 261 nt
Filed under: uncultured bacterium
Lineage: Bacteria
Description: partial 16S ribosomal RNA
Rfam family: Bacterial small subunit ribosomal RNA
Source: RNAcentral